CCAUACCACCUUGAAUGCGCCUGACCUUGUCUGUUCUCAGAAGCUAACCAGGGUUGGGCCUAGUUAGUACUUGGAUGGGAGA
This 82-nucleotide ribosomal RNA is filed under the name Ailuropoda melanoleuca (giant panda). Lineage: Eukaryota; Metazoa; Chordata; Mammalia; Carnivora; Ursidae. The record is from RNAcentral.